This 85-nucleotide transfer RNA is filed under the name Chlorobium chlorochromatii CaD3. Its description in RNAcentral is "tRNA-Tyr". The record is from RNAcentral. Lineage: Bacteria; Pseudomonadati; Chlorobiota; Chlorobiia; Chlorobiales; Chlorobiaceae.
UCCGUAUAAUCAGGUUUUAGGGCUAUAGCUUUUUCAUAGCUUUUAAGAGCUGCAUCAAAUUGUUUCAGUUCUUUUUGUACAGUUC